This 253-nucleotide ribosomal RNA is filed under the name uncultured bacterium. Its description in RNAcentral is "partial 16S ribosomal RNA". It matches the Rfam family "Bacterial small subunit ribosomal RNA", at positions 524 to 776 of the family's 1533-position model. The record is from RNAcentral.
AACGUAGGGGGCAAGCGUUGUUCGGAAUUACUGGGCGUAAAGCGCGUGUAGGCGGCUUGGCAAGUCGGAAGUGAAAGCCCUCGGCUCAACCGGGGAACUGCUUUCGAAACUGCCAGGCUUGAGUGCGGGAGGGGAGAGCGGAAUUCCCGGUGUAGCGGUGAAAUGCGUAGAUAUCGGGAAGAACACCGGUGGCGAAGGCGGCUCUCUGGACCGUGACUGACGCUGAGACGCGAAAGCGUGGGGAGCAAACAGG